GAUGAACGCUGGCGGUGUGCCUUAGGCAUGCAAGUCGAACGAGAGUCACUCUUCGGAGUGAGGACAGUGGCAGACGGGUGAGUAACACGUAGGAAUCUACCCUUUAGUGGGGAAUAGCCCGCCGAAAGGCGGGGUAAUACCGCAUAUGGUCGCAAGAUCAAAGUCUUCGGACGCUAGAGGAGGAGCCUGCGCGCUAUCAGCUAGUUGGUGGGGUAAUGGCCUACCAAGGCAACGACGGCUAGCCGGUGUGAGAGCACGACCGGCCACAAGGCUACUGAGACACGGAGCCUACACCUACGGGUGGCAGCAACCGGGAAUAUUGCGCAAUGGACGAAAGUCUGACGCAGCGACACCGCGUGCGGGAUGAAGCUUUUCGGAGUGUAAACCGCUGUGGCGAGGGAGGAAUUUUGACAGUACCUCGCUAGAAAGCACCAGCUAACUACGUGCCAGAAGCUUCGGUAAUACGUAGGGUGCAAGCGUUAUCCGGAUUUACUGGGCGUAAAGGGUCCGUCGGCGUCUUUGUAAGUUUCUUGUCUAAGCCCAGGGCUCAACUCUGGAAAGGCAAGGAAUACUGCAAAGAUAGAGUCCGUUCGAGGAAGUUAGAAUUCUCGGUGGAGGGGUGAAAUCCGUAGAUAUCGAGAGGAAUACCAAGCGCGAAGGCAGACUUCUAGGACGUGACUGACGCUCAGGGACGAAAGCUUGGGUAGCAAAGCGGAUUAGAGACCCGUGUAGUCCAAGCCGUAAACACUCCUUGCUAGUUGCCCUGACUUUAAGUUGGGGUGGCGUAAGCUAACGCGUUAAGCAAGGCGCCUGGGGAGUACGAUCGCAAGAUUAAAACUCAAAGGAAUUGACGGGGGAGCGCACAACCGGUGGAGCAUGUGGUUUAAUUCGAUACAAAGCGAAAAACCUUACCCGGAUUUGACAUGUACCUGCACGGUCUAGGAAACUAGACUUUCUUCGAGAGUGGUACACAGGUGAUGCAUGGCUGUCGUCAGCUCGUGUCGUGAGACGUCCGCUUAAGUGCGGUAACGAGCGCAACCCUUGUCCUGUGUUAUACGUGUCACAGGAGACUGCUCCUGCUAUGCAGGGGAGGAAGGAGAGGACGACGUCAAGUCAGCAUGUCCCUUACAUCCGGGGCUACACACAUCCUACAAUGGGAUCGACAGCGGGUAGCGACGGGGUAACCCAGAGCCAAUCCUCUAAACGAUCUCUCAGUUCGGAUUGAGGGCUGCAAUUCGCCCUCAUGAAGCCGGAAUCGGUAGUAAUCGCAAAUCAGCAGGUUGCGGUGAAUACGUUCUCGCUCCUUGUACACACUGCCCGUCAAGCCAGCAAAGUCAGCAGCGCCCGAAGCGGGUGACCGUAACCAGUUUACUGGGGCGGCCCUUCUACGGCGAGGUUGGCGAUGAGGACU
This 1411-nucleotide ribosomal RNA is filed under the name uncultured bacterium. Its description in RNAcentral is "bacterial SSU rRNA". It matches the Rfam family "Bacterial small subunit ribosomal RNA". The record is from RNAcentral.